UUACGGCCACAUCACGUUGAAACACCAGUUCCCGUACAGUCACCAAAGUUAAGCAACGUCGAGCCUUGUCAGUACGUAGAUUGGUGACCGCUUGGAAAUACCUGGUGCUGUAAG
Acanthosepion pharaonis is the source of this 114-nucleotide non-coding RNA. The record is from the annotation of a GenBank genome assembly. NCBI's taxonomy places the organism in Eukaryota, Metazoa, Mollusca, Cephalopoda, Sepiida, Sepiidae.